AGGGAGGAACAGUCAAGAAACAGUAGUACAGUCUUGGGGCAGGAUCCUGGUUCCCUCUCAAGGGAUGCACAUAAUAAUCUAGGCAUCUUAUCCACCUAAGAGAAAAGUUAUAUUCCUUAUGCUUCUAUUCGACAUGAAUACUUUAAAACUGAACAGCUUAGAGUCCUUCCUUGUCCUUCUCCCUGACUUAAUUGUAGACCCCUAGCCUGGGAACCUCCAUAUGCUGCUGGAGCAACCCUAGAAAAGACAAAACAAAAAACAAACAAACAAACAAACAAAACAACAACAAAAAACCCCCAUGACUCCAGACACUGCCAAUCAUGCCAAGGAACAACAUCCCCCAGGGUAAGAACCACAGCUCUGGAUGUAAGCACCCUCACAACUCACAAAUUUGAAACCCUUACUCGUAGUUGUUGCAGCAGAACAAAAGUCAAUUCUGCUCUUUCACCCAGGACUUAAGACUCUGAAGAAUUGCUCCUAGACUCUCCCUUUUUUUUGGGGGGGAGGAUUCUCUACCCCCCAAUACCCGCCCCCCCCCUUUUUAACAUUGCAAAUACCUGAGCAAUGAUUCUAGAGGCUUCUCUCCUAUAGACUCCAGGAAGCUGCCACUGUGGGCUGUCUAACUCUCUGGACUUGAAGUUCUUUUUUGUUUGCCUAUUUGUUAUUUCUCAUUCUCUCAUGCUCACAUAAUUGUAUCACAUAAUUCUAGUGCUCUAGUUUCUGUGGGAGAUAUUUCUAGAAAUGAUAUUGCCAGAGCAUACUUCAAAUGUUAGUAGAUGUGCGAGACAGCUUAUGGCAGUGCCAGAUCCUUAACCCACUGAAGGAGGCCAGGGAUUGAACCCGCAUCCUCACAGGUACUAGUCAGUUUCUUAACCUGCUGAGCCACAAGGAGAACUACCUUCCCCCCCAACCCCUUUUUUUAAAACAGACUCUAGCUGGACUUUGGUUCAAGCGAAUCUGUGUCUUUUCAUAAAAUACUUUAAAAUACUUCAUAGGAGUAUUUUUUCCUGACCCAUAUUCUUUCUUUCUCUUCCUUUUUCCUUCCUUCCUUCCUUCCUUCCUUCUUUCCUUCCUUCCUUCCUUCAUCUUUCUUUCUUUAUCUAUUUAUUUAUUUACUUUUGCUCUUUUAGGGCCACACCUAAGGCACAUGGAGGUUCCCAGGCUAGGGGUGGAAUCGGAGCUACAGCUGCCAGCCUACGCCACAGCUCUCUGCAACGCCAGAUCCUUAACCCACUGAGCGAGGCCAGGGAUCGAACCCAAAACCUCAUGGUUCCUAGUCAGAUUCAUUUCUGCUGUGCCAUGACGGGAACUCCCUUGACCCACAUUCUUGAUAUUCCUUCUGUACUACUUCUAUUAUUUAUUUUUACUUGGUUGUUAACUGUUUUUCCCCCUUGUUAAUUUGUAAGUUCCACCAUACUUUUCAAUCUUGAGCACUUAUAAUGAGACAUCUACUUCUUUUCUAUUCUUUGACAGUGUGACACCUAGUGUUGCUCCCACUAGAAGCCUUAGUUUCUCACUGCCCCUCCCCAAGAGGAGAAGAUCUUUAGGAUAAUUUAUCAUCCCUGCUCUUCAAACAUUUCUACUUCUUUCCUAUUCCGACCUCCUAGGAAUUGCUGACCAUUUUUACUGAUUUUAGUUCAUGACUAUUAUUAGAGUAUCUCUGGCCUGGUGUCUCUUCUAUUUCAACAUUGCCUAUUUUUGCUUGCUUUCUAUAAUUAAAAAUUGUGCAUUUAAAUACGGUUACAUUGUGAAGUUCAUGGCCCACUACCCUCUUCCUUAUAGGCCUUUAUCUUGAGUGUUCUGUUCACAUUCUUUAUUGUUGGGAACCAAUCCUUGAGUCUUUCCUUAAAUUAUGUAUUUUCUGAACCCCUGCAUGUCCACAAAUCUUUGUUCCGUAUGGGACAGUUUGGCUACAAGGCUUCUCUCUCUCUGGUCUUUGAAUGUUAUUCUGCCUUCUCAGGUUGCCGAUGAGAUGUUCACUGCCAAUCUCAUUAAUAGGCAACUUGUUUCUUCUUUCUGAAUGCUUAUAAGGUUCUCCCUUUGUCCUUGGAAUUUAGGAAUUUCUAGAAGGUACCUUGAGGUGUCUGCAUGCAUACAUAUUUCAUUUAAUUUUUAUUAUUUUUCAUUGAAGUAUAGUUGAUUUACAUUGUUUCAGGUGUAUAGCAGAGUGAUUGUUUUAUGUGUACUUACAUGUGUGUGUGUGUAUUCUUUUUCAGAUUCUCUUCUGUUAUAGGUUAUUACAGAAUAUUGAGUAAAGUUCCUUUGCUGUUCAGUAGAUCCUUGUUGGUUAUCUAUUUUAUAUAUAUUAGUGUGUAUAUAUUAAUCCCAAACUCCUAAUUUAUCCCUCCCCCCUACCUUUCCCCUUUGUUAACCAUAAGUUUUUUUUC
This 2387-nucleotide long non-coding RNA is filed under the name Sus scrofa (pig). RNAcentral describes it as "lncRNA (ENSSSCG00025076677.1)". Lineage: Eukaryota; Metazoa; Chordata; Mammalia; Artiodactyla; Suidae. The record is from RNAcentral.